UACGUAGGUGGCAAGCGUUAUCCGGAAUUAUUGGGCGUAAAGCGCGCGUAGGCGGUUUCUUAAGUCUGAUGUGAAAGCCCACGGCUCAACCGUGGAGGGUCAUUGGAAACUGGGAAACUUGAGUGCAGAAGAGGAGAGUGGAAUUCCAUGUGUAGCGGUGAAAUGCGCAGAGAUAUGGAGGAACACCAGUGGCGAAGGCGGCUCUCUGGUCUGUAACUGACGCUGAUGUGCGAAAGCGUGGGGAUCAAACA
RNAcentral lists this ribosomal RNA (251 nucleotides) under uncultured bacterium. RNAcentral describes it as "partial 16S ribosomal RNA". It matches the Rfam family "Bacterial small subunit ribosomal RNA", at positions 524 to 774 of the family's 1533-position model. The record is from RNAcentral.